GCCGGCUUAGCUCAGUUGGUAGAGCAGUAGUUUUGUAAACUUCAGGUCGCGGGUUCGAAUCCUGCAGCCGGCA
Molecule: transfer RNA, 73 nt
Filed under: Paramagnetospirillum magneticum AMB-1
Lineage: Bacteria; Pseudomonadati; Pseudomonadota; Alphaproteobacteria; Rhodospirillales; Magnetospirillaceae
Description: Magnetospirillum magneticum AMB-1 tRNA
Rfam family: tRNA
About the family: Transfer RNA (tRNA) molecules are approximately 80 nucleotides in length. Their secondary structure includes four short double-helical elements and three loops (D, anti-codon, and T loops).
Source: Rfam by way of RNAcentral